Molecule: ribosomal RNA, 1764 nt
Filed under: Staphylococcus aureus M1503
Lineage: Bacteria; Bacillati; Bacillota; Bacilli; Caryophanales; Staphylococcaceae
Description: bacterial LSU rRNA
Rfam family: Bacterial large subunit ribosomal RNA
Source: RNAcentral
CACUGCGCCGAAAAUGUACCGGGGCUAAACAUAUUACCGAAGCUGUGGAUUGUCCUUUGGACAAUGGUAGGAGAGCGUUCUAAGGGCGUUGAAGCAUGAUCGUAAGGACAUGUGGAGCGCUUAGAAGUGAGAAUGCCGGUGUGAGUAGCGAAAGACGGGUGAGAAUCCCGUCCACCGAUUGACUAAGGUUUCCAGAGGAAGGCUCGUCCGCUCUGGGUUAGUCGGGUCCUAAGCUGAGGCCGACAGGCGUAGGCGAUGGAUAACAGGUUGAUAUUCCUGUACCACCUAUAAUCGUUUUAAUCGAUGGGGGGACGCAGUAGGAUAGGCGAAGCGUGCGAUUGGAUUGCACGUCUAAGCAGUAAGGCUGAGUAUUAGGCAAAUCCGGUACUCGUUAAGGCUGAGCUGUGAUGGGGAGAAGACAUUGUGUCUUCGAGUCGUUGAUUUCACACUGCCGAGAAAAGCCUCUAGAUAGAAAAUAGGUGCCCGUACCGCAAACCGACACAGGUAGUCAAGAUGAGAAUUCUAAGGUGAGCGAGCGAACUCUCGUUAAGGAACUCGGCAAAAUGACCCCGUAACUUCGGGAGAAGGGGUGCUCUUUAGGGUUAACGCCCAGAAGAGCCGCAGUGAAUAGGCCCAAGCGACUGUUUAUCAAAAACACAGGUCUCUGCUAAACCGUAAGGUGAUGUAUAGGGGCUGACGCCUGCCCGGUGCUGGAAGGUUAAGAGGAGUGGUUAGCUUCUGCGAAGCUACGAAUCGAAGCCCCAGUAAACGGCGGCCGUAACUAUAACGGUCCUAAGGUAGCGAAAUUCCUUGUCGGGUAAGUUCCGACCCGCACGAAAGGCGUAACGAUUUGGGCACUGUCUCAACGAGAGACUCGGUGAAAUCAUAGUACCUGUGAAGAUGCAGGUUACCCGCGACAGGACGGAAAGACCCCGUGGAGCUUUACUGUAGCCUGAUAUUGAAAUUCGGCACAGCUUGUACAGGAUAGGUAGGAGCCUUUGAAACGUGAGCGCUAGCUUACGUGGAGGCGCUGGUGGGAUACUACCCUAGCUGUGUUGGCUUUCUAACCCGCACCACUUAUCGUGGUGGGAGACAGUGUCAGGCGGGCAGUUUGACUGGGGCGGUCGCCUCCUAAAAGGUAACGGAGGCGCUCAAAGGUUCCCUCAGAAUGGUUGGAAAUCAUUCAUAGAGUGUAAAGGCAUAAGGGAGCUUGACUGCGAGACCUACAAGUCGAGCAGGGUCGAAAGACGGACUUAGUGAUCCGGUGGUUCCGCUUGGAAGGGCCAUCGCUCAACGGAUAAAAGCUACCCCGGGGAUAACAGGCUUAUCUCCCCCAAGAGUUCACAUCGACGGGGAGGUUUGGCACCUCGAUGUCGGCUCAUCGCAUCCUGGGGCUGUAGUCGGUCCCAAGGGUUGGGCUGUUCGCCCAUUAAAGCGGUACGCGAGCUGGUUUCAGAACGUCGUGAGACAGUUCGGUCCCUAUCCGUCGUGGGCGUAGGAAAUUUGAGAGGAGCUGUCCUUAGUACGAGAGGACCGGGAUGGACAUACCUCUGGUGUACCAGUUGUCGUGCCAACGGCGUAGCUGGGUAGCUAUGUGUGGACGGGAUAAGUGCUGAAAGCAUCUAAGCAUGAAGCCCCCCUCAAGAUGAGAUUUCCCAACUUCGGUUAUAAGAUCCCUUAAAGAUGAUGAGGUUAAUAGGUUCGAGGUGGAAGCAUGGUGACAUGUGGAGCUGACGAAUACUAAUCGAUCGAAGACUUAAUCAA